This 1550-nucleotide long non-coding RNA is filed under the name Anas platyrhynchos platyrhynchos (common mallard). RNAcentral describes it as "lncRNA (ENSAPLG00000021555.1)". The record is from RNAcentral. Lineage: Eukaryota; Metazoa; Chordata; Aves; Anseriformes; Anatidae.
UAUUGCCCCAAUCAAUCCAAAGAACAUGUACAAGAUAAUGAAGUAUGGAACCUGCCAAAGCCAUUUGGACUAAAUCCUGAACUUCUGACUCAGAAUGUGGUAGAUCAAAUUAUCAAGGCUUAUUUGUAGCCAAAUAAACAUUUUGAACUCUAGCACAGAAAUAAAUCUUACUGAUUCAAAUGCUUCUGAAGACUGACUUCAGGUUAGUCAGCAAUCAGGUUAGUCAGGAAAAUCCCCAUUGCUAUGAUGUGGUGGUUGCUAUUUCUCAUACCAAUUAUUGGCAUGAGGUAUUUCUCAUACCAAUUAUUGAAUUGUUCCUUUUAUUGAAAAUGAGAAUUUGGUAGGAGAUAAAAGAAAGGAGAUGGUAGCUUCUUAGCUUGUGUAGAACAGAAAUUAUUGCAGAAGCAACACCAGGUGGUGCAUGUUUUUCACUCAAGGCCUCUGAGUCAGCUGGGCCCAGCAGCCAAGAUGGCGGUGCCUCGCCUCAGGGACAGACUGGGGAAGAAAGAAGGGCACAGCACUGCCUGGCAGCCGCCAGAAAGGGGAGAAACAGCCCUGCCCUGCCGACACCUGGGGGAGAGGAGGAGGAGAAGGGCAGGAGUGGCUCCAGGUGCCGAAGCAGAGAUCCCCCUGCGGCCCCUGGGCAGAAGGCAGCGCUGGAGCAGAGGCAAGGUGUAGUUGUAACUACAAAACUUAUUAUGGGAAAAUACAAACACUUAGGACAUUGCCAUGAGGUGAAGCCUAUCCAAAAUCAAUGCUUGUAUAAGACGUGGACUACAUUGGCCCACGAGAUUCAGCAAUGUCUUAAACUACUGCAAAUAUUACUAGAUCUCAUCUGUAAAAAAUCUUACACUUUAGUGACCAGCGUUUCUGUCAAAAUUAACUCCAUCAGUUUGGAAUUACCUACUUUAGUUUUGCAAAAUGACCUUGACUUUAUUAGGCAGAGUUGAAGAAGUGUGAUUGAAGGAUGUUCUUCUUUGCAAGUUGACACAACAGUUCUUGGGCUUCAGCUGUGACCUGCUGCAAAGAAAUCUGUAAAACAAUUUUCUAAGAGGGUUGUCAUCUUUUAUGUGCCUACGUUCUCUGUUGGUACUGCAGCCCACUGAGUUUCCUUUACUCAUCUGUUCUACCUCCUGGAAAUGUGGUUAUCUUCCCAUGCUUCAGAUAACAAAUUCAACACAAAGAAUGUAAAAAACUUUUUUACAGAUUGCUAGAAAAUUUUCAGGCAGUUUUGAGGCAUGGUUAUCAGUUCCUCAUCACUACUUGGAAUUUUAAUAGCAUAAGAAAGUAAUUUACAGUUGGCGUUAGAAGUAUACAAACUAUACUUCACUUUUAUACAUAGAAUAGAAAUACUGUAUUUCUUUGAAAACAUGAUACAUGUUAAUGCAGUGGUUAUUUGAAUAGUUACAAAUGUUUAGUGUAACAACCAAACAGAGAAAAUUAGAGCAACCCCAAGGUGAUCUAUUUGGAACUUAAUAGGGUAUGGCAGAUCUUACAACCCAUAGCAGAGAGUGUAAACCAGCAAUAAAUACACAUUGUGAGAAAGCUCA